CAAAAGCUUGGUCCUGACUUUACUGUCGGCUUUAACCUGACUUACACAUGCAAGUAUCCGCGCCCCCGUGAGGAUGCCCUACAGUCCCCUGCUCGGGAACAAGGAGCCGGCAUCAGGCACAUUCCAAUAAUUCCGCCCAAGACGCCUUGCUUUGCCACGCCCUCAAGGGUAUUCAGCAGUGAUAAAUAUUAAGCCAUAAGUGAAAACUUGACUUAGUUAAGGUUUAGAGGGCCGGUAAAACUCGUGCCAGCCACCGCGGUUAUACGAGAGGCCCAAGUUGACAGUCACCGGCGUAAAGCGUGGUUAGGAUAUAAUCAAAAACUAAAGUCGAACUCCUUCAAGGCCGUUUAAAGUGUUCGAUACGGAGAAGCUCAACUACGAAAGUGACUUUAUUUUUCUGACGCCACGAAAGCUAAGGCACAAACUGGGAUUAGAUACCCCACUAUGCUUAGCCGUAAACAUAGAUAGAACAUUACCUUUCUAUCCGCCUGGGUACUACGAGCAUUAGCUUGAAACCCAAAGGACUUGGCGGUGCUUUAGACCCAUCUAGAGGAGCCUGUUCUAGAACCGAUAAUCCCCGUUAAACCUCUCCCCUCCUUGCAAUUUCAGCCUAUAUACCGCCGUCGCAAGCCUACCCCGUGAGGGGACAGCAGUGAGCUCAAUCGGCAUAGCCCAGAACGUCAGGUCGAGGUGUAGCCUAUGGAGGGGUAUGAAAUGGGCUACAUUCCCUCAUGCAGGGAAUACGGAUAACGUGCUGAAAUGCACGUUUGAAGGUGGAUUUAGUAGUAAGCAGUAAAUAGAGUGUAUUGCUGAAUUUGGCUCUAAAGCGCGCACACACCGCCCGUCAUCCUCCCCAAGCAUCAACUCAAACAUCUUAAAUAAAACGACAGCUUUGCAAAGGGGAGGCAAGUCGUAACAUGGUAAGUGUACCGGAAGGUGUACUUGGCUCAAC
RNAcentral lists this non-coding RNA (952 nucleotides) under Gerres erythrourus. RNAcentral describes it as "12S ribosomal RNA". It matches the Rfam family "Bacterial small subunit ribosomal RNA". Lineage: Eukaryota; Metazoa; Chordata; Actinopteri; Gerreiformes; Gerreidae. The record is from RNAcentral.